CAAACUCUGGAACUCCGGCCGUACCGAUUAGUUCAGCAGCCUCAGUCCUAUGCUGUUUGCUAACUGUCCGUCCAUCGAUCAUUCCACAGUGCUCCGUGCGUGCGUGAUGGGAAGCAGGAACGUUAGUCACCACGUAUAGACAUGGCCUAGGUGGUGGUGGCACGUGGGGUGGGUGACUGUAGUGGCGCGUGUUGCGGCGUGAUAUCGAUGUAAAUCGAUCCACGGUGAGUGAGAGAGGGAGCGGUACCUAGCUCAUGGUACAUGGUAGCAUCGAGAUAUAUAUUGGGCCACCAAGCAGGUCUCAGAUCGAGGUAGGUAAUCGUAGGUAGAGGCCGAUCGUUGUGUUUGCUGGAAGAGAAAGAGGAGAAAGAAGUCCCAUCAGCCGGCCUCAGGCCCUGCUUCGGCCGCCGCUUCUGAGGUUUCUCCUAGUAGUAGUCAAGUAGCGUGUUUAGCUGGUCGGUACACAUUGUUGUCGCCGCCGGCGCCGCCCCGCUACCGCCGAGCCUUCCCCGGCACCUGCCUCUUGCUCCUGCGGGUUGACCAUACCAAGCACGCGAACGAGCCGCUUGCGGCAACCCUAAAGAAUCGAGUCCAGAGUCCAGAGGCCGCGUGGCCGUUCUCGACGGCGGAGGCGACCCAGUUGAUGGAGGUGGGCCCGGAGUUCGCGCCUGCGUAGUGGCGGCUGCUCCUCGCCGAGUAGGAGUCGGAGGUGCGGCUCACCCCGAGGGCCACCAGGUCCUAGCGAUCCUUCGAGGGGCCGGCGUGGCUGUUGCUCUAGUUCUUGAUGACCUCCUGCGUGUACUCCUUCUUCCGGGUCCUCCUCUUCUACGACCGGUUCUUCUUCCGGAGUAGGAGCGGGAGGAGGAGGAGGAGGAGCUGGUGCAGCGACUGGACGAGCCGGAGGGGGUGCCGGUGCAGCAGGAGCCGCCGGUGGUGGCUCCGCGGGGUCCUCUCGUGAUGAUGAUCGUACCUGCUGCUCCGGCUCGUCCUCCGGUGGUGCAGCCGCUCGCUCCUCUUCUUCCGCCUCCACCACGUCAUGACGAGGCGGCACCUGUACCUGGUCGAGACCUUGCUGUAGCGGCGCAGCCUCUCGAUGGGCCUCUACUACUACUCGACCCCGCGUCGGCCGGUGCACCGGUACGGGCGGGGGCGACACCUCGGGAGCAGCGGCCACACCCUCAAGACGCUCCUAAUGAGGGACACCUCCUAGCUGCUGGUUCUCAUGAUGUUGUUCUAGCUAGUUGUGCGAGACUUAACUCUCCGAAAGCAAUGCAAAGAGAACAACAAGAACAAGAAGGAUCGAUCGAUCGAAUUAACGUACAUAAUGAUAUAUGAUUAAGUACGUACAUUAAUAUACAUUUUGAACUCAACACUCUAAUAUAACCACUGUCGAAAAACGCGUGUACACAUUCAGUGAUUAAUAGUAUAAAGACCUCUUAGACAACGUUUUA
This 1451-nucleotide ribosomal RNA is filed under the name Triticum aestivum (bread wheat). RNAcentral's name for it is "partial small subunit ribosomal RNA". The record is from RNAcentral. Lineage: Eukaryota; Viridiplantae; Streptophyta; Magnoliopsida; Poales; Poaceae.